CCCAACCAACAUUUUGGCGCUAAUUUUCACCACUCUAAUCGUUUGUAUUGUUUUAACGGGUAUAUAAAAGUGUCUAGUAAAACUUUUGUUGGUUUAAUGGUCAUGAAUAUAACUAAAUAACUCAUUAAGAUGAGUAACAGUAACAAUAAUUCAUAAUAUAACUUAAGAAGUUAUAAAAGAGUUAAGCUGAACCACAGUAACGCUAGGUGUUGUAACCUCAAGUAACAAUAAGUACCUCAAGUAGUAAUAAGGUUUCUAGUAAGUCUUACUAUUCCCAAGUGUUGUUUAAGAGUGCUAAGUAAAUGUUUUUUACCACUUAGCUUGCCUAAAAACGUAAUAUUACUUAAGAAGGUAUGAAGGUUAUAGUCACAACCAUCAUAGAACUUACUCUUAUAUAAAUUCAAGUAACGCGAAACACUUAAAGUAAUAUUAUAGUUUCUAAUAACUCUUUCUACCGACAAAAGCUCUUGAAAAUAGUUGACAAAAUAUUUUUAUCACCUAAAUUGCUACAAAAGAAGUAAUUGGAACUUAUUUACAGCAAUUUAAUUUAGAAAUUAGAAACCACUAUAUAUGAUAUUAGUUGGUAUUAUGGAGUUAUUUUUAGAGCCCUGUUCUUUACAACGGUGUUCGAAUUUACCUUUAUGUUAUUCUAAGAAAUAUGAAAAUACAAUUUAAACGUUGUAACUUUUAUUUUCACUUGAAGUUAUAAAAUAUUACCUACUUUAUAGCUGUAUAAUGUCUCUAACCUCAAAAUUGUGUAUAGUCUGAUUUGCUCUGAAGUCUGUUUGCUCUUGCUUGCUUAAUUUUUGCUAUGAGUUCGUGGAAAAAACGAAAAAGAUGUGGAGGAGUCAAAAGAAAAAUAUCAAACGAAUACAAAUUAAUAAUCAGAUCAAAUCAAUCAGUGUCAUCCUGCGAUAAAACCACCAAACUGCAAACAGUGACCAGUAUCAGUGAUGCAGUUCAGCAUCAUAGUUCUUCGUUGAAGAGAAGUAUUGAUGACGCUAGUCUGGGUUGUAGUAGUUUUUGCAACGAAUAUUUUCAUCCAGCGCAGCUUAAAUGUCAACGAAAAUGUUCGUACUGUCGUAGAAACUCCAUCGAAAAUGUCGGUCAAGUGCGGGAAUUUCAACAAGGACUAGAAAAUCAUAAUAUGUAUGUGAGCAGUAAACAUGGUGAAACGCAAGAUAUUGAACAGGGUUCUGUAAGUGAGCAUUUUAUAAUUUCUUGUAAAGAGAGGAAUAAAUAUUUUCUAUCAUCAACUGAUGAUAUUAUUGAAGUCCUAAAUAUAUCAAUUAUAUCGACAAUGACAAAUAGAGAAACUAUUAUGAUACAAAUAGGAGGAGAUGCUAUCGAAUAUGUAGAUCACUACGUAUAUUUAGGGCAAAUAAUAUAAUUUCAUGACCAAAGGGAUCUUGAGAUAGAAAGAAGAGUGUCUAGCGCCUGGAAGAGAUUUUGGUCACUCAAGGAAGUACUUAAAAGUAAAGACUUCCCAAUAGUAGCUAAGAAAAAGGUGUUCAAUCUAUGUAUACUACCAUGUGUUACAUACGGCUGCGAGACUUGGGCUUUAUCUCAGAAACAUCUUCUAAAGUUGAGAACAUGCCAAAGAGGAAUGGAAAGAAGCAUGGUGGGUGUAACACUGAGACAUCGAAAAAGAGCAGAAGAGAUCAGAUCAACGACCAAAGUAGAAGACAUUAUAAAGAAAAUAAGGCAGUUGAAAUGGCGCUGGACUGGGUACAUGACGAGAGAUAGCAGGUUGAAAUGGACAAAAAUAAUUACAGAAUGGCAACCACGUGAUG
Molecule: long non-coding RNA, 1793 nt
Organism: Pieris napi
Lineage: Eukaryota; Metazoa; Arthropoda; Insecta; Lepidoptera; Pieridae
Exons: 2
Source: RefSeq, a predicted model, not a curated record